CGCGUCAGCCUCUCUCCUCCGGGAGAGGCAGGGAGUGUGACGCCCAUUUUACCAGCGGGCAAACUGAGGCUUAGGGAUGCUGGGUGAUUUGCCCGAGGACGCACACAGAGGGAAGGGCCAAGCCGGGAUUCCAACUCGGGACUCCCCGCUUCUGGGGAGACCGGUGAGGCCCCCGCGACAUGGCCCUCCCAUCCCCAAGCCUCUCGUGCAGAUCUCCGCUCUGUGGGACUUGAUUGCGGGCUGCGGGCCCGUGGCUCCUGCAGGCAGAGAGAGGACGGGAGAGGAGACGGCUACGAGGCUUGGAGAAUGAGAAGGCAGAUCAAAGUUACAGAUGCUGCGAGAACAUCACCAAGCAGAAUCUUGGGUGCUGUCCCCACCUCUCUGUACCUGCUCCCUCCCAGAGAAGCCAGCCUCCACUUGCUGUCCCGGGCCUUCUCUAUCUGAAAAAAGUUGAAGGAGCACAUGUCCUUGCGCAGGAAGAGGCUGUUCAGCGUGACCGCCCCGAUCAAGAAGAAGAGCUGCUUCACCGCCUGCCUCACAAGCUCGGGGUCCAGGCCGUUCUGGCACAUGGUGGUGUAAAAGUAGCUCAGCUGUUGCAGGACGGAGGUCAUGGUGUAGCCGUCCGUGUCGUCUAUGCUGGAGGAGCGCUUCCGGAAGCCUGUGGGCUUCAGGCCGGAAAUGCCCUGCAGGCUCUCAUACUCCAGCAUUCCCGGAACUGCGGAGAGACAGGGAGGCUGUGCUGACACGCGAGGAGACACACGCAGAACGUUCCCGACGCUCUUCGGUUUGUUUCAGGAGAUGGGACAUUUUUCUACAAGAGUCAGUGGAUGUACUUAUGAUAGAGAAAGCAAAAGAAUCAAGGGUUUGGGACACCAGGGUGUGUGUCAGGGUUAGGGAUGGAC
RNAcentral lists this long non-coding RNA (902 nucleotides) under Pan troglodytes (chimpanzee). Its description in RNAcentral is "lincRNA". Lineage: Eukaryota; Metazoa; Chordata; Mammalia; Primates; Hominidae. The record is from RNAcentral.